Molecule: ribosomal RNA, 497 nt
Filed under: uncultured bacterium
Lineage: Bacteria
Description: partial 16S ribosomal RNA
Rfam family: Bacterial small subunit ribosomal RNA
Source: RNAcentral
GAUGAACGCUGGCGGCGUGCCUAAUACAUGCAAGUCGAGCGAACAGACGAGGAGCUUGCUCCUCUGACGUUAGCGGCGGACGGGUGAGUAACACGUGGAUAACCUACCUAUAAGACUGGGAUAACUUCGGGAAACCGGAGCUAAUACCGGAUAACAUGUUGAACCGCAUGGCUCAACAGUGAAAGACGGUCUUGCUGUCACUUAUAGAUGGAUCCGCGCCGCAUUAGCUAGUUGGUAAGGUAACGGCUUACCAAGGCAACGAUGCGUAGCCGACCUGAGAGGGUGAUCGGCCACACUGGAACUGAGACACGGUCCAGACUCCUACGGGAGGCAGCAGUAGGGAAUCUUCCGCAAUGGGCGAAAGCCUGACGGAGCAACGCCGCGUGAGUGAAGAAGGUCUUCGGAUCGUAAAACUCUGUUAUUAGGGAAGAACAAAUGUGUAAGUAACUAUGCACGUCUUGACGGUACCUAAUCAGAAAGCCACGGCUAACUACGUG